RNAcentral lists this long non-coding RNA (421 nucleotides) under Bos taurus (domestic cattle). RNAcentral's name for it is "long non-coding RNA NONBTAT025299". Lineage: Eukaryota; Metazoa; Chordata; Mammalia; Artiodactyla; Bovidae. The record is from RNAcentral.
GGCCCACCUAAGAAAUUUAUGUCACUAGUUGGGAAGGGAUAUUGGGCUUGAAGAAAAAAAAAACAAACAAAAAACUUUCCAUUAAGACAAGUUGGUGAAGUUUAUAGCGUAGGGAAGAACAGAUGUGGAGCUGUGAGUCACUCUGGAUGCGUGACGUGCAGUAAACAUAGGGAGGCUGAAUUAAACACAAGUCGGAGCUACUCUGUUUGACUUCAUGCCCUUGGGGUGGGGGGCAAUGAGCAGAGAUUGGAACAAAGCAGGGGUGAAGAGUAUUCAAUUUGGUCCAUGUGGGGAAUUGAGAAUCAAGAAGCAUCUCUCAGAAUAGCAGGCCCCAUGGUGGCUUUGUGUAAAAAUGGAGGUUAUAGAUUUACUUAAAGCAAAAUAAGAUUGUUCUAGAGAUUAAAAUCCAAGGGACCAGAGC